Long non-coding RNA from Oryzias sinensis (Chinese medaka), 3429 nucleotides. NCBI's taxonomy places the organism in Eukaryota, Metazoa, Chordata, Actinopteri, Beloniformes, Adrianichthyidae. The record is from Ensembl.
AUGUACAACCUGAGUUUCUCAUCAGUGGCUAGAAUUGAAGAAUCUACUCAGAUGAGCAGCAAAACAUCUUCUGGAUCACCCUUUAAAGUCCUGAGGAACAGAUACUGGGAGAUACUUUUAUAUUUCAUUCCCACAAACAAGAACAUGGACAAACAGAACAAGAGCAGACAGAGAGAAGAAGUUGGUUUUGUGCCAGUGAUAACUUCACGGAUCCAGUCCUGGUACCAGGACACACGGCGGAAGACUCCAGGAUCUCCACAGGAAGCUGAGGUAGAAAUUGCAACUCCAGCAAGGAUCCAUUGAGACUGCUCUCUAAUAACAAGUGGGGAUCCAGGAAUGACCUGUGAGGAAAAAAAGAUUAGAAGUAAUAUUAGUGCAAGGAAAAGCUUAUUUCUUUAUUUUGUUUUUUUAUUAUUAUUUCGCAGUCCUGAUCAUUGGAUGAUGGGAUUUUUGCUGAUAUUCUAUCUGCUUUUUUUAUGUUUUUUUUUAACUUUCUCCCAGCCCUGGUCCUCGGGGCACACUGCCCAGCAUGUUGAGCACACAGCUGAUUCAGCACAUCAUCAAGCUCUGCAGAAGAAUGAUAAUGGCGGCCAUCAAAGGCAAGUGUGCCUGAGCAGGGAAUGACAUUCAUUUAAAGUAAAAGUAAAAUGUGUAUUUAAGUAAAAUCACACUUAAAAAAUGAUGGCUUAUUGAGUCAUUAAGACACAAUGUAAACCUUUGAUGUAAAAUUACAACAAAACAUUGACAAAAAUAACAGUAUUCUACUGUUGUCCUUUUGUAAAUUAUUAGGCUUUACACCGCAAUACCAUCUGGGAGAAAUGUUUAUAGUAUUCUGCUGUCUUUGUGUUGUACAGUACUAUACUGUGAACAGCAGUGCAAACUGGGAGGAAAUCUGACAGUAUUCCAUUGUUUUUAUGUUGCAUAAUGCCAUACUGUAAAUUGCAACACAAUGUGGGAAAAGGAAAAAUCCUGUGAUGUACAGAAAGUGUACAAUUUGAUUCAAAAAUCAGCUGCUCAGGAACAUUUGAAACGUUUUAUUUGUCUCCCAGUCAGUUUGCAUCAGUUUGGCAGCUAAAAGUUUUAUUUUGUUGGUUUCUUUUCCCUGGAAAUGGGAUAAUGCAUUAUGGGAGUCUGCAAGCAUUUUAAUUGCGUCCGAGGCUAAAUCUAGUUGUUGUUUUAAGGGGUAUUUGUUGUUUUAUGGAGUAUUUUAAGGGGUAAUUGUAAAAACAGAAAUGGUUACUCAAGUGGCAAAGCAAAGUGAUUAUUUAAAGUGCGGCUAAUAAGCCACAUAGCUUCAGCUUUCAAAAUAAGUGCGGCCAAGAAAAAAGUUUAACACUGGCUGCAAAUAAUUUAGAAAUUACGUCCAAAUAGUCACAUCCUUAUAUAUAUUUUUUAAAGGUUUCCAAUUCAUUUGAUCCAUUAUAUCUUUAUUUUCCUUCAGAUCAUGGUUAUGGGCAAAAGCACUAUUCGAAAAUAAUCCAAUUAUCUUUACUAUGAUGUAUGACACACUGAAAUUGUCUUACUUUUGCUCUGUUUUCAGUGUGAACACGAAAAUUUAAGCAACUUAACUGGGGAGAAAAAAUCUGUUGCAGCUCUACAUCUUUACCCAUUGUGGAAAACCUUCGUUAGCAUACAUUAUGAGAAUUAAAGUCUUAAUUACAAUCAUUAUCGAACAAGUAGCAUUCAAUGAAGUGCUUGGAACCUUUGCCUAACUUUGACAGAGUUGUAAGAGAGAAAUGAUCUACGACUUGUUUAAUAUCCAUACAAAUUUUGGAAAGCAGCUGUGCAGUCAGGAUUACUUAAAUUUGUAUUUUGAUUAGUAAAUGAUCUAAGAGAGGAAAAAAUACAGUCAGAUAGUACCGGUACAUUUAUAAAACAAAUAUUAUGCAAUUCUCUGUUACUAUUCAUAAGGUUACCUUGUGUUAAUUAAGUCAAAUGGUGUUAAACAGCAUUCAGUAGUUAGCUUUGCUGGUCUUUACCUGUCAAGUAACACCCUUUUGUCUGAUCUCACAUGAAAAGAAUUAAACGUGAUUUUACAGUGAUCCAUUGUAGUACAAAUACAGUAUUAAACUGGCAAAACUGCUGCCUGUAAAAUACUGUACAUUUACAGUUUAGCUUGUAAAACAAUAAAAAUAAAACAACAUUAGAUGGUUACCUGACAUGGAUAGGAUCCUCCUAUUGUGGCACGCAUCUCUUUCUCUGGGACAUUACUUUGGUUCUGUUUACAGCUGCCCAGUAUUGAUGCUUUAGCCUCCCUUUGCGUGCUGAUAUUUAGCUUUUCACCUAUUAAAGAAAGAGUUUAAAGCUUAAAAAGCUGCAGGUACAGGUGCGCACAUUUAACAGGGUCGGCUGUGACAGCUGCUCAGUGCUUGGAAAAAAAAUCUGCAGCUCUGUUGGUUUCUUAUUAUCUCUAUAUCAGAGUUUGUAACAGCCUGAAACUUGUGAACUGACAUCCCUGCUGCUGCGCGCUCCCGUCCCCUGUCACACGCGGCUCACGUGUGUGAGAGAAUGAAAGGGGAGGGGGUAAUAGGCUCCGUGUACGUAACUAAGGAGUUCUACUUCCGCCGCCUUGAGUGUGAGGCCGACCAUUUCCAGCUUGCGACUUCUAUAUCAGCGACACGGCAGAUUUCGAUUGCGAAAGAUGGCAUAUUUCACCCGUUGUCUACAAGGUCUCCCGAAAAUCGACGUGAACGACAUCGACAGGAUUGUCGAACAGUGCGUGGUUACAUAGGCAAAUUAUUGUGUCGAAAAAAUAUAGUGUCGAAAAUACCGGAAGGGAAAUGUGUCCCGUUGUAACAAACCUUUGCUGUCACAUAUAUUUAUGCAGCAGCUCGGUAAUAUACGAGGCGAUCUUCCAAAAGUUCUUUUAUUAAUCUUAUGAAUAUUAUGAAGUGCCUGUUCACUCAUCAUUUUAUAUUUAAUCUGUGUGGUCAGUCCGUUUUUUGUGGAAGAACUAGUACGGAGCUGAAAGAAGAACCCAGGAGAGGCUAACAACAUGGGCUAACAACAUUAGCCUUUUGAUGGACACAAAAUAAAUCCAGGACCAUGUGGGAAACGCUGCAAUCUGCAGUUUGGCUGCACGUAAAUGUGUGGGAAUAACAUCAGCCUUUAUUUUGUCGGGGGACAGCUGGAAACACAAUUCCAUGUGAUUUUUUGAACAGUUUCUAAGGACUGAGCGGCAUUUCUGCUCUGAAAAGCUCACACACACUGUGAGCUCUGCUCGGUUCUCGUGAGUCCUGCAGCCGUAACCCAUAGCGGCGGUUCGGCUCGCAGUCCGAAUCCUCACACGUAAAACAACAAAACGCACAUGUAACAAAGCACCCUCCCCCCAAACACAUUAAAAAAUCCAGCUGCUCUGCUCAGAGAGGUUCACUCAGUCCACUGGCACCGGAGCCCGAAUGCAGAGCUCGGGUCCAGACGUCGGUGGGA